RNAcentral lists this long non-coding RNA (1321 nucleotides) under Scleropages formosus (Asian bonytongue). RNAcentral describes it as "lncRNA (ENSSFOG00015024231.1)". Lineage: Eukaryota; Metazoa; Chordata; Actinopteri; Osteoglossiformes; Osteoglossidae. The record is from RNAcentral.
AGGGACUAUGGGAGCUCAGUCUUAGUUUUUCGGAGCAAAAAAAAUCCAACCAGGAUGUCCUCCAUGUUGCUACAGCCACUAAUCUAUGUGCAUACAUGUAAAGUGUGCUGUCGUAUCAUGAGAGUACUAGUCUGUACUUUGUUUUUCAUAUGUGAACAUGUACAUGUAACAUAGUCUGAGCUUAGUGUUAGUAAAGAUGCAGGGAAAGACCAAAAACACAAACACCUUUAUGAAUGGUGGAUCUCGCAUUUCAUUUGAAAGGGCCUCCCUGACUAUGCAUCCUCCGCAGUGCCCAAAAAACACUGUAUGAGCCAGAAACGGCUGCACUUACACAGUUUUAAAGCCUCUCGGUUAAGCACUAGAAUCCAGGACCCAGCUGGUGGACUUCCAGUAACUUAUCGUCUGUGACUGGACCUGGGUCGACCUGUGAGCUCUGGCAGCAGGUUGGUGAGCUGUUCCCACGUGUGGAGGGUCCAUGGAUUGUGCUCGCUCCCUGACCAGAGUCAAACCGGCCCAAACCAUUUUCUAUCAUCCAGGUGCCACUCUUGGCAGCCAUAACUGACCCAUACACCACAGUUUGAAAGGGGAGAGCGCUGUGCCCAAUGUGCUUCUCUACCGCAAGGGUAACAAUGGCCCAGUGAGAGAAUUAAUCCCUGUAGUUGCCUCCACUGGAGAUCUUUACCAUGUUGUGCUUCUUGCAGUGUGCCUGAAAUUCCUCGUUGGCAAUUUCACACUGCAGAUCUCCCAGAGCCCUGCCACCCAGCAGCGGAGUAAUGAUGCUGGGGGGUCACCAGCUGCUAGAGCCUGUCACCUGGCUGAACUUGCUGCUCUCACACCCUCCUUACCUUACAACUCAGGUGUGGAUUGACAGACUAUAAGAUCAGUAGAGCAAAGCAAGAUCCAGAUAAAUGUGUGGGGUAGAUGAAAACAAAACUACAAUUGAGGAACCCCUGAAAGGAAGGAGACCACUGGGUGGGCAGCAUCCAAAAGUCCCAGAAGUGGUCUGUCAUGGGGCUGAGCCAUGUGAGGGAGCAACUGAUUCUGACCCAUCCAAGUCCAAACCACCAUUGUUCUAACCUGAAAAGACAGCGCCAACACAUUUAUCUGCGUUUAGCUGAAAGAUUUACGGCAAGUGUGGAGUGAAGAAAACACCUUUCUACAUAAAUUUCAUCUGUUUGAGUACUUCUUAUCUACAUCAAACAAAAGCAGUUGAUUCAUUUGUUGGAAUGCUGAAAGGUUGAAUGAGUCACCACAGGCAAAAUAUAUGUAAAUGAUGCUUUUUUUGUAUAAACAGUUUAUCUACUUAAGAUACCGGCACAUU